This is a non-coding RNA of Microcebus murinus (gray mouse lemur), 2287 nucleotides long. Lineage: Eukaryota; Metazoa; Chordata; Mammalia; Primates; Cheirogaleidae. The record is from RefSeq and is a predicted model, not a curated record.
GGGUGGGGGUACAAAAAUAUUCAGUCCAUAAUACAACCCUACUAGGAUAGAAACUUCUCAUCCUAGCUUUGGCCCUGUAGAACCCAAUUCUUAUAUCUAACCACAUAGCUAGCACCUGAACAGCUCUUCCCUGUUCUCCUACCAUCUCAAGAAGGUAAUAUCAGAUAUUUACCUGUGGCUCAGGGACUUCUACACCCUACUACAACAAGUGGAACAUAAAUCUUUCAGAAGAAAAGUCCAGAAGAUGGAGUGCAUAAUAAAGCAAUCCUGAAUUCCCUCAAGACCAAGAAGCCUAAAGGAGGCUGGAAGGAGUGGUGAGAAUAAUUGAAAUGCCUGGACCAAAUAGGUAUCCAUCUCAACCAUUCACCCAGGGCAAAAAGAAAAAAAUGUACUGAGCACCUGUUCUGUGCCCACCACCGUGAAAUGCUCAGAUUCAGUGGUGAAUGAGGUGUUUCCGCCCCCAAGCAUCAGUCUGAUAGAAGAUACUGAGAGACAGACAAUGGGAGAGGAGAGUAUGAAAGUCCUUUGAUGGGGACAUGAACAGGGUGCUAAGGACAGACAGAAAAUAAGCUAAUCUAGUCUGAGGGAGUCAAACAAAGCUUCCCAGAAAGGAUGCCAGCUAGGUCGGGUGGGAGUCGAACUGUUGGAAGGGAGGGAACAAGGACGUGGAGAGAGGGAGAGGGGGGGGAAGGACAUUUCAAGAAGCAGGAGUGUCUUAUGUGAUGGAUAAGAGGAAAGAGAGGUGUGACCCACGCAGGGAGCCGAGAGAGUACUAACUUCCGGCUGAAGUAUAGAGUCUCAGGACAGGAGAGGGGAGAGCUGAGACAGAGGCCGUGUCCCGCAGGGAGGGCCAUGUGUGUCCUACAAAGGAGCUUGGACUCUGUUGUAAUCACACAGAGAAUUAGUUGAAGGGGUUCAACCCAGGGGUGGGGGAGGGGGUCAUGAAGACCAGUGUGUGUUACAAAGAGGAUUCUGGCCACAGGGCAGAGAAUGGAUCUGUGAGGGGCCAGGGAGGGGGGUGGCUAACAGAGUUAUAGGACUCAUUAGAGCAUUUGGAGUAAUCCAGCCAAAAGAUGAAGAUGACUCAGCCUGGGGGCCUGGCAGUGGGAACAGAGAGAAGUAUUAAUAGAUACUAGGUCGAAUGCUUAGUACGGUGAGGCAGCGUGAUGUAGCAAUCGGAUGGAGGUGGGGGUGAGGGAGGGCAUGGUGUCAGGGAUGCUAUGUCUGCAGGGCCCCACAGUCCCUGAGAGUAACGGCCAAUCUCUUUUGUUCCAGGUUCUUUCCCGGUUCAGGUGGCACAGCUUUGUGUCCCCCAUACUUUUAAUCCAGCAACCCAUACGUACUUUUUGACAUCCCUCAUCUCUUCUUAUGCCCCAUUUUCUCUUCCACCUCCCAGUACCCUAACGAGGGAAGUGUGAACUGUUGUUCUCAAACCCAGAACUUUCAGUGGUUUAUUUCUUGCUUAUUUCAAGCUUAUUUCUUGCUCAGGUAAGAAUCCUCCCUGGCUAGGGCAUUGGCCUUCCUCCACACAUGGGCCCAGAAAGCAGGCCUCCUUCUGUUGCGUGGCUUUGCUAUUCCCUAGGGCCUCAGAGUUUUCGGUAUCAUCUGGUAGAAGGGGCAAGAGAGAGUGGAGAAAGUAAGCUUAUUGCUCAAAAACCCCAGCUGCACAUUCAUUAGCAAGAACUUGCCACGUGGCCCUGCCUGGCUGCACAGUCACAUUCCUGCCUACGUACGUGAGGUGGGGGAGCAUGAAGUUUUGCUAGAAAGCUGGCCGCCUCUGUCACACCCAACAUGCCUGGGUUUUAAGUCAUUCCCCCUUGUCUUUACUUAGCUGCUUCUCCUACUAGCUGGCACUGGAAUGUUUAUAAACAUUUUCAUUUAUCUGGUUUUGAUAUGGAUGGAGGAUGACACUCCUCCAAUGUACAAGCAACAGAAAGGACAGUUCACAAGCUACCCAUCACAAGGCAAACCCAUGAUUGUUUGCUGCAGCCGAGCAAAGGGCACCUGAGAGGCAGGAGAUGUGGCCUCGAAUUCUGGCUCCAUCAAUAACGUACAGCAAGACUGAGCAAGGCACUUCAUGUCUCCACACCUCGAUUUUCUCAUUAAUAAAAUGAAUGGAGUGGGCUACACCAAUGUUUCUCCAAGUAUGUUCUGUAGAACAUUCAUUCCAUGAGCUGCUCCAUUCAAAACUUCUCUGGUCAAGUAGAUGCAGGAAAUACUGUGAACGUUAAACAUCUCCUUGAAGAUAGUCAAGCCCAUAAGCAUAUUAAAUGCUCAGAAAAGUCCU